RNAcentral lists this transfer RNA (76 nucleotides) under Smithella sp. PtaU1.Bin162. RNAcentral describes it as "tRNA-Ala". It matches the Rfam family "tRNA". Rfam says of the family: Transfer RNA (tRNA) molecules are approximately 80 nucleotides in length. Their secondary structure includes four short double-helical elements and three loops (D, anti-codon, and T loops). The record is from RNAcentral. Lineage: Bacteria; Pseudomonadati; Thermodesulfobacteriota; Syntrophia; Syntrophales; Smithellaceae.
GGGGAUGUAGCUCAGCUGGGAGAGCGCGGCGUUCGCAACGCCGAGGCCACGAGUUCGAUCCUCGUCAUCUCCACCA